This is a non-coding RNA of Onchocerca flexuosa, 79 nucleotides long. The record is from the annotation of a GenBank genome assembly. Lineage: Eukaryota; Metazoa; Nematoda; Chromadorea; Rhabditida; Onchocercidae.
GUUGUCCCGCAGAAGCAGGACGUUCCAAAAUUUUACUUCAAGCCACAGCAGCCGAAACUCUGGGCCGAAACAUUCAAUU